GGGGAAUCUUGCGCAAUGGGCGAAAGCCUGACGCAGCAACGCCGCGUGGGGGAUGAAGGCCUUCGGGUUGUAAACCUCUUUCACCAUCGACGAAGCCCUUUGGGGUGACGGUAGGUGGGGAAGAAGCACCGGCUAACUACGUGCCAGCAGCCGCGGUAAUACGUAGGGUGCGAGCGUUGUCCGGAUUUAUUGGGCGUAAAGAGCUCGUAGGCGGUUUGUCGCGUCGGCCGUGAAAACCUACAGCUUAACGGUGGGCUUGCGGUCGAUACGGGCAGACUUGAGUUCGGCAGGGGAGACUGGAAUUCCUGGUGUAGCGGUGAAAUGCGCAGAUAUCAGGAGGAACACCGGUGGCGAAGGCGGGUCUCUGGGCCGAUACUGACGCUGAGGAGCGAAAGCGUGGGGAGCGAAC
This 409-nucleotide ribosomal RNA is filed under the name uncultured bacterium. RNAcentral's name for it is "bacterial SSU rRNA". It matches the Rfam family "Bacterial small subunit ribosomal RNA", at positions 356 to 773 of the family's 1533-position model. The record is from RNAcentral.